RNAcentral lists this transfer RNA (73 nucleotides) under Leontynka pallida. RNAcentral's name for it is "tRNA-Met". It matches the Rfam family "tRNA". From Rfam's summary of the family: Transfer RNA (tRNA) molecules are approximately 80 nucleotides in length. Their secondary structure includes four short double-helical elements and three loops (D, anti-codon, and T loops). Lineage: Eukaryota; Viridiplantae; Chlorophyta; Chlorophyceae; Chlamydomonadales. The record is from RNAcentral.
UGGCACAUAGCUUAGUGGUUAAAGCAUUGGUCUCAUAAGCCAAAAAGCGCAAGUUCGAAUCUUGCUGUGCCAA